Molecule: ribosomal RNA, 497 nt
Filed under: uncultured bacterium
Lineage: Bacteria
Description: partial 16S ribosomal RNA
Rfam family: Bacterial small subunit ribosomal RNA
Source: RNAcentral
GAUGAACGCUGGCGGCGUGCCUAACACAUGCAAGUCGAGCGAACGGACGAGAAGCUUUCUCCUCUGAUGUUAGCGGCGGACGGGCGAGUAACACGUGGAUAACAUACCUCUAAGACUGGGAUAAUAUCGGGAAACCGGAGCUAAUACCGGAUAAUAUUUUGAACCGCAUGGUUCAAGAGUGAAAGACGGUCUUGCUGACACUAAUAGCUGGAUCCGGGCUGCAUUAGUUAGUUGGUAAGGUAACGGCUUAACAACGCAACGAUGCAUAGCCGACCUGAGAGGGUGAUCGGCCACACUGGAACUGAGGCACGGUCCAGACUCCUACGGGGAGCAACAGUAGGGAAUCUUCCGCAAUGGGCGAAAGGCUGACGGAGCAACGCCGGGUGAGUGAUGAAGGUCUUCGGAUCGUAAAACUCUGUUAUUAGGGAAGAACAUAUGUGUAAGUAACUGUGCACAUCUUGACGGUACCUAAUCAGAAAGCCACGGCUAACUACGUG